Small nuclear RNA from Octodon degus (degu), 163 nucleotides. Its record names the gene U1. It matches the Rfam family "U1 spliceosomal RNA". From Rfam's summary of the family: U1 is a small nuclear RNA (snRNA) component of the spliceosome (involved in pre-mRNA splicing). Its 5' end forms complementary base pairs with the 5' splice junction, thus defining the 5' donor site of an intron. There are significant differences in sequence and secondary structure between metazoan and yeast U1 snRNAs, the latter being much longer (568 nucleotides as compared to 164 nucleotides in human). The record is from Ensembl. NCBI's taxonomy places the organism in Eukaryota, Metazoa, Chordata, Mammalia, Rodentia, Octodontidae.
AUACUUAACUUGGUACAGGAGAUACCAUGAUCAUGAAAGUGCUUUUCUCAGGAGAGACUUAUCAUUGCAUUCCAAACAUACUCAUCCCUUGGAUUUCUCCAAAUAUGAAAAAUUCCAUUGCAUAAUUUCUGAUGGUGGGAGACUGCAUUCAUGCUUCCCCUGA